GACGAACGCUGGCGGCGUGCUUAACACAUGCAAGUCGAACGGAAAGGCCCUGCUUUUGUGGGGUGCUCGAGUGGCGAACGGGUGAGUAACACGUGAGUAACCUGCCCUUGACUUUGGGAUAACUUCAGGAAACUGGGGCUAAUACCGGAUAGGAGCUCCUGCUGCAUGGGGGGGGUUGGACAGUUUCGGCGGUUGGGGAUGGACUCGCGGCUUAUCAGCUUGUGGGUGGGGUAGUGGCCUACCAAGGCUUUGACGGGUAGCCGGCCUGGGAGGGUGGACGGCCACAUUGGGACUGAGGUACGGCGCAGAGUCCUACGGGAGGCAGCAGUGGGGAGUAUUGCACAGUGGGCCGAAGCCUGAUGCAGCGACGCCGCGUGCGGGAUGACGGCCUUCGGGUUGUAAACCGCUUUCGCCUGUGACGAAGCGUGAGUGACGGUAAUGGGUAAAGAAGCACCGGCUAACUACGUG
This 468-nucleotide ribosomal RNA is filed under the name uncultured bacterium. Its description in RNAcentral is "partial 16S ribosomal RNA". It matches the Rfam family "Bacterial small subunit ribosomal RNA", at positions 28 to 507 of the family's 1533-position model. The record is from RNAcentral.